GUCCCUGUAGCGCAACCUGGAUAGCGCGACGGCCUCCUAAGCCGUAGGUUGAGGGUUCGAAUCCCUCCAGGGACG
RNAcentral lists this transfer RNA (75 nucleotides) under Candidatus Woesearchaeota archaeon. RNAcentral describes it as "tRNA-Arg". It matches the Rfam family "tRNA". Rfam says of the family: Transfer RNA (tRNA) molecules are approximately 80 nucleotides in length. Lineage: Archaea; Nanobdellati; Candidatus Woesearchaeota. The record is from RNAcentral.